Molecule: long non-coding RNA, 1081 nt
Filed under: Coturnix japonica (Japanese quail)
Lineage: Eukaryota; Metazoa; Chordata; Aves; Galliformes; Phasianidae
Description: lncRNA (ENSCJPG00005011878.1)
Source: RNAcentral
UAGACAAGAAAAAAAUGCUGAAUUUCUCUCAUUUUUGGAAAAAUUAGAAAAAGGUUUGUGGUUUUUUUUUGUUGUUGUUGUUUUUUUUUUCUUUCAGUUUAGGUAUUACGGGAAAUCUGUUUAAUUGAGCCAUAUUUAUAUUUCAGCUGUUUGUAAUACAAUUGGAGAGAACAGGAGAGGGGGAGCAGCAUCUGAGAGGAAAAUAGUGCGCCCUAUGGUAAGGAUCAAGUGGAUAUGUGGUCUCUUGGUCUCUCUGGUGGUUGUAGAGGAACACUUAUCUGUCUUUCAGAAAGAGAAAGUGAAUUAAGCCAAACCCCUUUCCUUCUGGUCCCCACAGAACCUCUAAGUACGGGAUGACUGUGGGUAGCAGGUUUUUGGCAUUACUGAAGAGAAAAAUCUACAAAUUUGGGAAUUUAAUAGAACUUGUUUUAAUUUCAUUGCUGAUGCUGGACCAAAACAAACAAACAAACAAACAAACAAAAAACCCCAAAAAACAAAAAAACCUCACAUACGUUCAUCUUCUAUUGCACAAGGGAAGUAGGAAUAUUUCUGCAGCAGAGUCAUCAUUUGGCUCCAAACAACAGAAGAAUAUUUAUUUAGCCUUGGGGCAUAAUAUAAUCUAAAGAGGGACAAGUGAUAUUUCAGAAGGUAAGACUACUCUGUCUCCCAAAUUUCUGCUUCUAAUUAACUGAAACUUAAUGUGGAAGUUCUUUUCAUUUCCUUUCCUCUCUUUUUCCUGUCAGUCUGGGAGCACUACAUACUGCAGCAAAGCUGAGGAAGAAGCUGUUUGUCAUCAGCCUCUGCAGAAUGUUGCCAUUAGGUCUGGUAACACUGGCACGUUUAUCACACUUGGCAAAUUCCUCCUGUCAACACUGGAUACCAUUCACCUUCAUUUUAAUGUGUUCUUUUCACUCUACUCUAAGCAAACAUAACAUCAGAUUUGAGGUGCUGCUUUUCUUGUUAUGAAUAAUAUGACCAAGUUACAUCUCAGUAGAAACACGUGGAAUACCUUUGACAAAUGCACCUCUCUUUAUUGGAGGGAUUGCCAUCUUCCAAUAAAAGUUAUUUCAGAGCUAUAGCA